GACGAACGCUGGCGGCGUGCUUAACACAUGCAAGUCGAACGGAAAGGCCCUGCUUUUGUGGGGUGCUCGAGUGGCGAACGGGUGAGUAACACGUGAGUAACCUGCCCUUGACUUUGGGAUAUCUUCAGGAAACUGGGGCUAAUACCGGAUAGGAGCUCCUGCUGCAUGUUGGGGGUUGGAAAGUUUCGGCGGUUGGGGAUGGACUCGCGGCUUAUCAGCUUGUUGGUGGGGUAGUGGCUUACCAAGGCUUUGACGGGUAGCCGGCCUGAGAGGGUGACCGGCCACAUUGGGACUGAGAUACGGCCCAGACUCCUACGGGAGGCAGCAGUGGGGAAUAUUGCACAAUGGGCGGAAGCCUGAUGCAGCAACGCCGCGUGCGGGAUGAUGGCCUUCGGGUUGUAAACCGCUUUCGCCUGUGACGAAGCGUGAGUGACGGUAAUGGGUAAAGAAGCACCGGCUAACUACGUG
RNAcentral lists this ribosomal RNA (468 nucleotides) under uncultured bacterium. Its description in RNAcentral is "partial 16S ribosomal RNA". It matches the Rfam family "Bacterial small subunit ribosomal RNA", at positions 28 to 507 of the family's 1533-position model. The record is from RNAcentral.